Molecule: ribosomal RNA, 259 nt
Filed under: uncultured bacterium
Lineage: Bacteria
Description: partial 16S ribosomal RNA
Rfam family: Bacterial small subunit ribosomal RNA
Source: RNAcentral
CACGUAGGGUGCGAGCGUUGUCCGGAAUUAUUGGGCGUAAAGAGCUCGUAGGCGGUGUGUCACGUCGGCCGUGAAAACCUGCAGCUUAACUGUGGGCGUGCGGUCGAUACGGGGCAUCACUGGAGUUCGGCAGGGGAGACUGGAAUUCCUGGUGUAGCGGUGAAAUGCGCAGAUAUCAGGAGGAACACCGGUGGCGAAGGCGGGUCUCUGGGGCCGAUACUGACGCUGGAGGAGCGAAAAGCGUGGGGAGCAAAACAGG